GGCAGGGUUGCGCACGGUGCGCCUCGGGUUAAUCUUCGGAGAUCAUUGUUUUAAGCCAUCCCGGAGUUCCUCGUUCGACUCGAGGCCCUGCCA
Molecule: non-coding RNA, 93 nt
Organism: Mycena leptocephala
Lineage: Eukaryota; Fungi; Basidiomycota; Agaricomycetes; Agaricales; Mycenaceae
Source: the annotation of a GenBank genome assembly